UGGGGAAUCUUCCGCAAUGGACGAAAGUCUGACGGAGCAACGCCGCGUGAGUGAUGACGGCCUUCGGGUUGUAAAGCUCUGUUAAUCGGGGCGAAUGGUUCUUGUGCAAAUAGUGCGAGGAUUUGACGGUACCGGAAUAGAAAGCCACGGCUAACUACGUGCCAGCAGCCGCGGUAAUACGUAGGUGGCAAGCGUUGUCCGGAAUUAUUGGGCGUAAAGCGCGCGCAGGCGGAUUGGUCAGUCUGUCUUAAAAGUUCGGGGCUUAACCCCGUGAUGGGAUGGAAACUUCCAAUCUAGAGUAUCGGAGAGGAAAGUGGAAUUCCUAGUGUAGCGGUGAAAUGCGUAGAUAUUAGGAAGAACACCAGUGGCGAAGGCGACUUUCUGGACGAAAACUGACGCUGAGGCGCGAAAGCCAGGGGAGCGAACGGG
This 429-nucleotide ribosomal RNA is filed under the name bacterium. RNAcentral describes it as "partial 16S ribosomal RNA". It matches the Rfam family "Bacterial small subunit ribosomal RNA", at positions 355 to 776 of the family's 1533-position model. The record is from RNAcentral.